This 273-nucleotide ribosomal RNA is filed under the name uncultured bacterium. RNAcentral's name for it is "partial 16S ribosomal RNA". It matches the Rfam family "Bacterial small subunit ribosomal RNA", at positions 85 to 354 of the family's 1533-position model. The record is from RNAcentral.
CCGCCGGCGACCGGCGCACGGGUGAGUAACACGUAUGCAACCUGGCCGUGACAGAUGGAUAACCGGGAGAAAUCCCGCCUAAUACAACAUAAUGCCGGGAGGGGACAUCCCCUGCCGGCCAAAGGGGGCGACCCCGGUCAUGGAUGGGCAUGCGGCGCAUUAGGUAGUUGGUGGGGCAACGGCCCACCAAGCCGACGAUGCGUAGGGGUUCUGAGAGGAAGGUCCCCCACAUUGGAACUGAGACACGGUCCAAACUCCUACGGGAGGCAGCAG